CUCUGGCCCAGCAAAUGGACCAGGGCAAAGGAG
Non-coding RNA from Ligilactobacillus saerimneri 30a, 33 nucleotides. NCBI's taxonomy places the organism in Bacteria, Bacillati, Bacillota, Bacilli, Lactobacillales, Lactobacillaceae. The record is from Rfam.